UACAGAGGUCCCAAGCGUUGUUCGGAUUCACUGGGCGUAAAGGGUGCGUAGGUGGCCAGGUAAGUCUGAUGUGAAAUCUCGGAGCUUAACUCCGAAACUGCAUUGGAUACUAUCUGGCUAGAGGGUCGGAGGGGAGACUGGAAUUCUCGGUGUAGCAGUGAAAUGCGUAGAUAUCAAGUGGAACACCAGUGGCGAAGGCGAGUCUCUGGACAUUUCCUGACGCUGAGGCACGAAAGCCAGGGGAGCAAACGGG
This 253-nucleotide ribosomal RNA is filed under the name uncultured bacterium. RNAcentral describes it as "partial 16S ribosomal RNA". It matches the Rfam family "Bacterial small subunit ribosomal RNA", at positions 524 to 776 of the family's 1533-position model. The record is from RNAcentral.